UCGGGAAUUUUGGGCAAUGGGCGAAAGCCUGACCCAGCAACGCCGCGUGAAGGAUGAAAUCCCUCGGGAUGUAAACUUCGCAAGAACGGGAAGAAUAAGGAAGAGUUAACACCUCUUUCGAUGACGGUACUGUUUGUAAGCUCCGGCUAACUCCGUGCCAGCAGCCGCGGUAAUACGGGGGGAGCAAGCGUUGUUCGGAUUUACUGGGCGUAAAGGGCGCGUAGGCGGCCACUGCAAGUCAAUUGUGAAAUCUCCGGGCUUAACUCGGAAAGGUCAACUGAUACUGCAGGGCUAGAGUGCAGAAGGGGCAACUGGAAUUCUCGGUGUAGCGGUGAAAUGCGUAGAUAUCGAGAGGAACACCUGCGGCGAAGGCGGAUUGCUGGGCUGACACUGACGCUGACAGUGCGAAAGCUAGGGGAGCGAA
This 424-nucleotide ribosomal RNA is filed under the name uncultured bacterium. RNAcentral describes it as "bacterial SSU rRNA". It matches the Rfam family "Bacterial small subunit ribosomal RNA", at positions 355 to 772 of the family's 1533-position model. The record is from RNAcentral.